This is a long non-coding RNA of Scomber japonicus (chub mackerel), 632 nucleotides long. RefSeq lists it as uncharacterized. The record is from RefSeq and is a predicted model, not a curated record. NCBI's taxonomy places the organism in Eukaryota, Metazoa, Chordata, Actinopteri, Scombriformes, Scombridae. The transcript is spliced from 3 exons.
AAUGGUUGCAGAUUGAAGAUAAGCAGGCGGCGGUUUCUACACGCUAAUAAGAACCUGAGGGAGCACUGAGAGUUAUACUUGGACCCAGAGAGACGACGGCAGUCAGCAGGCCCAUGAUAACUGUGAGAUUAUUGUAAUAUAUAAUGAUAAAGUGUCUGUCAGCGGAGCCGUCUCCUCCUGGUUGUCUGUCUGCUCUCAUAGAAAAAAGCUUCAGCGUUGGACGUCUGAUGUGAGAGAAGUUCAGGCAGCCUCGACUUUAAGAGACUCAAAACAUUUUGUCAAAACUACUUAAAUUGUAAUAUCUGGUGUGCACGGCACAGCACAACAUUUUCUGAGAGUAAUGACCCAUGGAUCAGCCCGGCGCUGACAGCUCUAUCAGGCUGAGAAACGCUGUCAGACGUCAGAUUUCUACCCGCGACGACAGGAUGAGCUCAACCAGGUAGAGAAAGAGAGAGAGAGAGGAAGAGAAAGAGAGAGAGGCAACAAUGAAGGCUAAGAUAUUUAUGUGUUUACAGACAGGAGCUGAUAAGACUUGUUCAGAGGCUCCUCUACGUGCCAACCGAGGAGUUUAUCUGCCCUUUGACACACAGACACACACACACACACACACACACACACACACACACACAUAU